GAUGAACGCUGGCGGCGUGCUUAACACAUGCAAGUCGAACGAGAAUCAACGGAUUGAGGAUUCGUCCAAAUGAAGUUGAGGAAAGUGGCGGACGGGUGAGUAACGCGUGAGGAACCUGCCUCGGAGUGGGGAAUAACAGUUGGAAACGACUGCUAAUACCGCAUAAGCCCACAGCACCGCAUGGUGCAGCGGGAAAAGGAUUUAUUCGCUUUGAGAUGGACUCGCGUCCAAUUAGCUAGUUGGUGAGGUAACGGCCCACCAAGGCGACGAUUGGUAGCCGGUCUGAGAGGAUGAACGGCCACAUUGGGACUGAGACACGGCCCAG
Molecule: ribosomal RNA, 325 nt
Filed under: uncultured bacterium
Lineage: Bacteria
Description: bacterial SSU rRNA
Rfam family: Bacterial small subunit ribosomal RNA
Source: RNAcentral